UGGGAAAUCUUGCACAAUGGGGGCAACCCUGAUGCAGCGACGCCGCGUGAGCGAUGAAGGUUUUCGAAUCGUAAAGCUCUGUCCUAUGGGAAGAUAAUGACGGUACCAUAGGAGGAAGCCCCGGCUAACUACGUGCCAGCAGCCGCGGUAAUACGUAGGGGGCGAGCGUUGUCCGGAAUUACUGGGCGUAAAGGGUUCGCAGGCGGCAUGGCAAGUCCGAUGUAAAAGGCGAAGGCUCAACCUUCGUAAGCAUCGGAAACUGUCAAGCUUGAGUGAAGGAGAGGCAAGUGGAAUUCCUAGUGUAGCGGUGGAAUGCGUAGAUAUUAGGAGGAAUACCGGUGGCGAAGGCGACUUGCUGGACUUCAACUGACGCUGAGGAACGAAAGCGUGGGUAGCAAACAGG
Molecule: ribosomal RNA, 403 nt
Filed under: Verrucomicrobiota bacterium
Lineage: Bacteria; Pseudomonadati; Verrucomicrobiota
Description: Verrucomicrobia bacterium partial 16S ribosomal RNA
Rfam family: Bacterial small subunit ribosomal RNA
Source: RNAcentral